AUGUGUGUCAAUCCUACCCUGAAUGCAUCCUGCCUCCUCAGAUCUCUGAAGCUAAAGCCGGAUCGGUCCAGUUAGAACUUGUGUGAGAGAAAACAGAAACACAAAUC
Molecule: ribosomal RNA, 107 nt
Organism: Sorex araneus (European shrew)
Lineage: Eukaryota; Metazoa; Chordata; Mammalia; Eulipotyphla; Soricidae
Source: Ensembl